This 255-nucleotide ribosomal RNA is filed under the name uncultured bacterium. RNAcentral's name for it is "partial 16S ribosomal RNA". It matches the Rfam family "Bacterial small subunit ribosomal RNA", at positions 99 to 354 of the family's 1533-position model. The record is from RNAcentral.
CGGACGGGUGAGUAACGCGUGGAUAACCUGCCGUAUACUGGGGGAUAACACUUAGAAAUAGGUGCUAAUACCGCAUAAGCGCACAGCUUCGCAUGAAGCGGUGUGAAAAACUCUGGUGGUAUACGAUGGUUCCGCGUCUGAUUAGCUAGUUGGUGGGGUAAUGGCCUACCAAGGCAACGAUCAGUAGCCGGCCUGAGAGGGUGAACGGCCACAUUGGGACUGAGACACGGCCCAAACUCCUACGGGAGGCAGCAG